Molecule: unclassified non-coding RNA, 1405 nt
Filed under: uncultured Neocallimastigales
Lineage: Eukaryota; Fungi; Neocallimastigomycota; Neocallimastigomycetes; Neocallimastigales
Description: partial contains small subunit ribosomal RNA, internal transcribed spacer 1, 5.8S ribosomal RNA, internal transcribed spacer 2, and large subunit ribosomal RNA
Rfam family: Eukaryotic large subunit ribosomal RNA (bases 650-1405)
Source: RNAcentral
UGGAAGUAAAAGUCGUAACAAGGUUUCCGUAGGUGAACCUGCGGAAGGAUCAUUAAAAAAUGAGACCCAUUUAAGGGGUCUAUUAAUAAUCCUACCCUUUGUGAAUUUGUUUGUUUUUUAAUUUGUGUCUUUCCCUGUUUUUUGAUGCGAGGCUUGUUUAAAAAGCAAAAUCAAAUGCAGGGGAAUGGCAAAACCUUUUUUUAAAAAUUAAACAUUUUGUAUUCAUUUGUCUAAAAAUUAUUUUUAUAAUAUAAAAACAACUUUUGACAAUGGAUCUCUUGGUUCUCGCCAACGAUGAAGAACGGCAGCAAAAUGCGAUAAGUAAUGUGAAUUGCCAGAAUACGUGAAUCAUCGAAUCUUCGAACGCAUAUUGCACUUUUUUGGUUUACCAAAAAAGUAAUCGUCUGUUUGAGUAUCAGUAAAAUAUUCUCAUAAAAAACUUUUGUUUUUUAUGGUUAUGAGUGUUUUACAACGAUAAACAAGUUGUUUCACUUUAAAUUCUUUGUCUUUUAAAAAUCAUUUAAAAACUGAUUUUUUUUAAAAUUGGAUAAAAUUUUCCUGUAAAAAGGAAUAACCUAAACAAUUUUAAUAAAUGAAUUAGUUUGAUUUUUUAAAAAAGAUCAAAAGGAAAAAAAAGUAAAAAUUAACUUGAUCUCAAAUCAGAUAAGAGUACCCGCUGAACCUAAGCAUAUCAAUAAGCGGAGGAAAAGAAACUAACUAGGAUUCCCUCAGUAACGGCGAGUGAAGCGGGAAGAGCUCAAAUUUGAAAUCUUCAAGGUUCUACCUUGACGAAUUGUAGUUUAAAGAAGUGUUUUCUGUUGGAGUUUUGGUAGAAAGUUCUUUGGAAUAGGACAUCAUAGAGGGUGAGAAUCCCGUAUUUGACCAUUAUUUCCAACUCUGUGAUACACUUUCAAAGAGUCGGAUUGUUUGGGAAUGCAGUCCAAAAUGGGUGGUAAAUUUCAUCUAAAGCUAAAUACUGGCGAGAGACCGAUAGCCGACAACAUAGCUCACCGCCCCGUGAGGGAAAGAUGAAAAGAACUUUGAAAAGAGAGUUAAACAGUACGUGAAAUUGUCAAAAGGGAAGCGUUCGACACCAGUGUUGUUUUCUCGAAAAUCAAUUAAAAAUGGCGGGAUGUUGUGUUGUAUUGACUUUAUCAGCUUUCUGCACUUUUUUCCUUGUCUUUUUAAUGCACUUUUCGUUUAAGCAAGUCAACAUCAAUUUCUUUUGUUGUAAAAGAGUCAUUGGAAGGUGGCUUUCUUUUCGGAGAAAGUGUUUAUAGCCUUUGGCUUCCGCAAUCGGAGAGAUUGAGGUCUGCAGCGUAGAUCCUUCGGGGUUAGAUACAUUUGUGGCUAAGUUAUAGCCUUUCAUAGACAACUUGUUGACUAUGAUCAGUCAUGUAGGCUU